UGGCGGACGGGUGAGUAACGCGUGGGUAACCUACCCUGUACAGGGGGAUAACAGUCAGAAAUGACUGCUAAUACCGCAUAAGACCACAGCACCGCAUGGUGCAGGGGUAAAAACUCCGGUGGUACAGGAUGGACCCGCGUCUGAUUAGCUGGUUGGUGAGGUAACGGCUCACCAAGGCGACGAUCAGUAGCCGGCUUGAGAGGGUGACCGGCCACAUUGGGACUGAGACACGGCCCAA
Molecule: ribosomal RNA, 238 nt
Filed under: uncultured bacterium
Lineage: Bacteria
Description: partial 16S ribosomal RNA
Rfam family: Bacterial small subunit ribosomal RNA
Source: RNAcentral